UGCUGCCAUUGGGUUCUUCGUUUCGCUGACCAAAAAUGAAGCCGUGGACCUUCCCGGAACAAAAAGGGUGGAAAAAUUAAGAGGUGGCCUCAGUCCUGUCCACCCUGGGCGAGGUGGUCAGAUCCUGCUGGCGACUGCAGCUGUUUCUCUCAGGAGGAUGAUGAAUACCCUACAGAUGGCAGCUGCUCCUGUUCUCAGGAGCCUGGUCAUUAGGAAGAAAAGGAUAAAAACCCCAAACCUGUUAUCUACUGAGCAAUUCUGAGCUGCUCUGGAAAUUUGAAAGGCACUGGGAAGAAAAGUGUCACCAGUUCUGCUGGGACGGGGCCAGGGUGUGGGUGGGGGAUUCGGGCAGGGCUGGCUGCUCGCUCGCCCCCUCCCUCCCUGGAGGGCCCACUCUGCACUCCUGCCCUUCUUCCAACUUUUCCUCCUUCUUAUUAUCUUCGGAUCUUCCUUCUGUUCCUCUACAGCUGAGCCUUCCUGAGGAGGUAAAGGAGUGUCCCUGGUGCUUGGGCAAAUGGAACCGGUUCAGCCCAUGCUGUCACCACGUGCAGGGCCCUCUCUCAGUGUGACUGGUGUGACAGGAGGAAGAAGGGCAGUGAGCCGUGGCCCAGCUAUUGCAGGGACAGCCAGAGCAGCUUCCUGCAGUGCAAGCCCUGCCUGACGCCCUUCUGCCUUUCUCAUCGGGUCUCAGCUCGUCCUGGCCACACCCGUCCAGGCCUUUUCUGCAGGAAAGGAACUUUUGCUCAACCAUCCAUUUUGAAAGUGGAGACUCUAUCUCCAUUCUAACGCUCCUUUUCUUUUAGACUUUUAAACACAUUUU
This 820-nucleotide long non-coding RNA is filed under the name Homo sapiens (human). RNAcentral's name for it is "HSALNT0380361". The record is from RNAcentral. Lineage: Eukaryota; Metazoa; Chordata; Mammalia; Primates; Hominidae.